GCCCCCCUAGCUCAGACGGUAGAGCGUUUCCAUGGUAAGGAAAAGGUCACCGGUUCGAUUCCGGUGGGGGGCUCGA
RNAcentral lists this transfer RNA (76 nucleotides) under Actinobacteria bacterium IMCC26103. RNAcentral describes it as "tRNA-Thr". It matches the Rfam family "tRNA". Rfam says of the family: Transfer RNA (tRNA) molecules are approximately 80 nucleotides in length. Their secondary structure includes four short double-helical elements and three loops (D, anti-codon, and T loops). The record is from RNAcentral. Lineage: Bacteria; Bacillati; Actinomycetota.